AUACUCCAGUUACUCUUUAGUUCAUAUACAUCUUUUGAGCUAAAGACUUCCAUGAAGGGAAACCACUGUGAGUCUUAACCCAAUGUUUUGAGGCACUGUAUCUGCAGGGCU
Molecule: small nuclear RNA, 111 nt
Organism: Saimiri boliviensis boliviensis (Bolivian squirrel monkey)
Lineage: Eukaryota; Metazoa; Chordata; Mammalia; Primates; Cebidae
Product: U5 spliceosomal RNA
Source: RefSeq, a predicted model, not a curated record